GGUUAGCUCAGUUGGUAGAGCGCUCCACUGGAAAUGGAGAGGUCCCGGGUUCGAUACCCGGACC
This 64-nucleotide transfer RNA is filed under the name Ixodes scapularis (black-legged tick). It matches the Rfam family "tRNA", at positions 5 to 66 of the family's 71-position model. Rfam says of the family: Transfer RNA (tRNA) molecules are approximately 80 nucleotides in length. Lineage: Eukaryota; Metazoa; Arthropoda; Arachnida; Ixodida; Ixodidae. The record is from Rfam by way of RNAcentral.